GACUCGUCUGUAGUCAGUUUGUCCACAUUGAGAACUAUGACCUCCAGCAGGUGGGAGAUGUGACGCGCGGCUCCAGACGGACCGUCUACCAGCUUACUGGUCCCCCCUUGCUGUCUGGGUUCAACGUGUCGGCUAUUAACACAAUAAACUGGGCGCGUGCAACGUCA
This is a non-coding RNA of Gasterosteus aculeatus aculeatus (three-spined stickleback), 167 nucleotides long. NCBI's taxonomy places the organism in Eukaryota, Metazoa, Chordata, Actinopteri, Perciformes, Gasterosteidae. The record is from RefSeq and is a predicted model, not a curated record.